Molecule: ribosomal RNA, 483 nt
Filed under: uncultured bacterium
Lineage: Bacteria
Description: partial 16S ribosomal RNA
Rfam family: Bacterial small subunit ribosomal RNA
Source: RNAcentral
AUUGAACGCUGGCGGCAGGCCUAACACAUGCAAGUCGAGCGGAUGAAGGGAGCUUGCUCCUGGAUUCAGCGGCGGACGGGUGAGUAAUGCCUAGGAAUCUGCCUGGUAGUGGGGGAUAACGUCCGGAAACGGGCGCUAAUACCGCAUACGUCCUGAGGGAGAAAGUGGGGGAUCUUCGGACCUCACGCUAUCAGAUGAGCCUAGGUCGGAUUAGCUAGUUGGUGGGGUAAAGGCCUACCAAGGCGACGAUCCGUAACUGGUCUGAGAGGAUGAUCAGUCAAACUGGAACUGAGACACGGCCCAGCCUCCUACGGGAGGCAGCAGUGGGGAAUAUUGGACAAUGGGCGAAAGCCUGAUCCAGCCAUGCCGCGUGUGUGAAGAAGGUCUUCGGAUUGUAAAGCACUUUAAGUUGGGAGGAAGGGCAGUAAGUUAAUACCUUGCUGUUUUGACGUUACCAACAGAAUAAGCACCGGCUAACUUCGU